GGCAGCGCCCCCUGCCCCGUCCGGAGCUCUCCGCCGCAGUGAUGGCGGCGACGGGGGCGGCGCAGCCGAGUCACCUGUGGGGCUUCUCACAACUCCACAGCCCCCUCCCCAAACCCUAGGUCACUCGUCCAGAGGAAGAAAAGAAGCAAUCUCAGCAGAUGCAGGGCCCGGCGCGCCGGUGGUGGAGUUUCCAAAAGCCCUACAGGUGAUGCCACCCCGACGCCCCGCGACGCUGGCCCUGGGUAGUCUCGACCCUCUCCGGCUCCGCAGCUUCCCCCGACCCCGCGGGACGGCCGGGGCUUCGGCGGCGAGACUUGGGAAAGUGUCCCCUGCUCUGCGCACCUCCCUCGCUGCGCGGACCGCGCGCUGGAUGCCAGAGCCACGAUGUGCUGGAAGAAAGGCAGAUUCCUCCCCGCUCCGUUUUCUGCCUUCAUUUGGGCUCCCUUCACCGAUCCACGGAAGGCGGUAGCCUCCUCGUCAUUCUCCCUGCCGUCCUUCAGGCAGCAGCCGUCCAGUCCAUACUGUCAGCCUUGGAGCCCGAAUGAUCUCUCCCAGUGCAGAUCUGAUCAGAUUCACUUUCCUGGGAUUUUAUCUUUUUUACAGUCUCCCCACUAUUUUCAAUAUGAAAUCUCAAGCUCCUUGCCCAAUCUGCAAGACUUGAUGAUUUGGGCCUUUCUUAUGCAAUUCUGAUGGCUUUCUCUCCUCUCCCCACUCCUCCCUAUGAUCCACACAUUUGGAACCACUGAAUUUGGAACUUUAAAUAGUCAUCAAUCCCUGUGACUCCCCUAAGAAUAUUUAUCCUCUACCCCUUUGAGGUUGAAGAAUCUGAGUUUCAAAUUACACAGCCGGAGACCCCUCCAGCCCCACUGAUAUGGGAUGUAGACAGAGGCAUUGGCCAAAGCCUGGAGAGACGCACACCCAGAGUCAGAGGGGAAAGAAGCAGAGUGAAGAACCUUUCUGAGAAGCCUGCUCAUCUGUAUGCUCCGAGAGCAGUGGAAGCCACAGCACAGGAAGCUUCAUUGGGAAGGGCCUUGUGAAUCAGUCCAGGCUCAUGGGCACAACUGUGAGCCUCGCUUAACCCAGGGCCCCCAUCCCAUUCCCUACUGUCCUUGCUUCUGUCCUGCUUGUGCAUGUGUGUCUGGAUGUGUGUGUGGUGUGCAUGCCCACACUGAAGAGGCAGAAGAGAUGAAGGUCCCUCUGCCCAUACCCAUUGGGAACUUAGCCCUGGGACUCUCUGCUCCCUCUCCCCUGAAGCUGCUUUGGAGUCCUCUCCCCCAGAUUGUUGGCAAAGCUGCUGAGCUUCUGAUUCAGUGACAUUUUACAGGAUCACUGUGUUCUCUCUUCAGAGCCAUUUGAGAUAGAACUGGGAACAGGAGGCCCACUGUCUCAGAGGAUUGCAUCAAGAACUGUGCCCCCGAGCAGCUGAAGACUGCAGGGUCUUGGAGCUGCAGGGACAGGAGGGAAGGAGCCAAUACUCCACCAGGCAUCCACUCUUUUCACAUACUAUCUUUUCAUGAAUCUCUGCAGUCGUGAUAGAAAGUACCCCCAAAAUGUCUCCAUCUGAAAGUAGAGGAAACUGAGGCUGAGAGGCAUAAAAGUGACUGGCCUAACACAUCAGUGAAUAAAUGGCCUGAAAGAUCUUUAACACUAGUCUGCUCUAAUUCUGCAUGAUGACUCUUCCUUUAUGUCAUGCAGUCAAGCCUUGCCACCAGCCAGAAUUUCUGAGAUGCAUCACUGGUUUAUAAAGCGGUGUCAAAUGGUAUGAGCAUGGAGGGGAUGACAUGUGUGCAGUGGGUCACAGCACUUCUCUUUCUUCAGACUCGAAGUCCAAGUUUUGUCAGAAAAUUCUCAUGGAAAGACAGACAGAUACCAGGCUGACCUAGCAUCCACUCAUUCUCUCCCUCUCUCUCUCUCUCUCUCUCUCUCUCUCUCUCUCUCUCUCUCUCAGUUUGGAAAAAGGAUUUGUAGGUCAUUUAGUCCAAAUUUCUAAUUCCUGAAUUAAAGUUGCAGUAUCUAAAGUAAAUAGCUUUCUAGCCUGUGCUUGGAGAUUUAUAGACUGUAAGGACUUUUACAAAGGGAGAAAUUAUUACCAGAGAUAAUGAAAUGAGGUGUGACCCUGACAAUGCAUAGGCUCACAGUGUAGGCAUCUGGAACUCUGUAGUGGCCGUGGUCAGCAUGGACAUGGUGCGGUGUUGGUAACAGUAAUGACAGUAGUAGUAGCAGUGAUGAUGGUUGUGCUGGAGGUCAGGGUGGUGAUGGAAAUGACUGUGACAGCAGUAAUGGGGUGGUGUGAGUCUUGAUGGUAGUAGCACCAGAGGUGGUAGAAGUUGGAGUGAUCCUGGAAGGAAAGCCCCAAGCAGAGGGUAAGUUCUUCCUGGGACAUCAACUAGUUGCCCAUACUGCCUGUAUUAAUCAUGCUUCUCUAGAGGAACAGAACCAAUAGAAAAUAUAUGCAUCAUGAUGCAAAGGGGUUAUUAGGUAGCUUACAGGGUCAGAGGUGGAGAAUCCACUGUGGCCAUCUCUGCACGCUGGAGAGCCAGGGCAUCCGGGAGCUGCUCAGCCCAUGAAGAUGGAGGCUGCAGAACAACAGGGAUCAAGGAUGAGGUGCAGUCCAAGCUCAGAGGCCCGGAAAGUCACUGGAGGGUUGCUGGUGCUAAUCUACAUCAGAAGGCUAAGGAAGAAACUGGAGACUUGGAGGCUGAUGUGCAAAGGAUUGGCCCUUCCAGGAAGACUGGGCCUCUUCAGAACUGGGACACUUCUUUAUUCUUUCCCUGCAAGCCUAUUGGUAGGUAGCGCCUACAUAGGAGGUGGGUCUCCCCUACCCAGUUUGCUGGCCUACAUGUCAAUCACCUUCAGAAACAGCCAGACCUGCACUUUACUAAUCUGGUAAGUGCUUCUUAAUUCAUUCAAAUAGACACAGUAUGAUUAAUAGUCACGCUGUCCCAGGGUAGCUCAUCCCUGUGAGGAGAAUGGAUAACUCCAUAGCAUUCUCCUGGCCUGUCCAGGUCAGGGAGCUGCUAGGCUGAAAUCUUGCCUGACACAGCCAAUGUCCUCCAUUCCAAGGUGGCCGGAACCCAGGGCCCUGAGGCCUGGCAGACUUUUCUAAGCUUUUGUAGAAAUGUUUAUGAUGGAAACAUAUUCAGGUCCACAGGCUGGGACAAGCCUACACACACACACACACACACACUCACACACACACACGCACAGAGUUUCUGCAGAAGCUGGUGGAGAGAGGAUGAGUGUGGCUAAGUGUGUGCCACAUGUCCAUCUCCGCCAUUCUGAUCCAGGUGGUUGCGCAAUGCUGGCAGCUUUGUCACUGACUCAGUCACUGAGACACCAGCAGCGAAAGCAACCAGUAUGCUGUUUGCCUCUCUGGAAUGCAAGCAUGCCAAAUGAAGAGUCACACAAUAUGGCCUCCUUGCAGCAAUGGAUGGCCUGCCCCCAGCUGGUGCCAGGUUUGCUUUCUGUUUAGUUCCAGUGCCCUCUCACUUGUCAGGAAUGACAUUUGGGAGACUUGACGGAGGAAACUCCAUUCUGUGAUAGAUAGGAACUGGUGACCCUGUGGCUAUGGGCAACGCUGGCUUAGUGUAGGCAUAGCCCAGAAUGACUCCUGCUAUUUACCAUACAAGAAAUCAAUGUAAAACAAUGACCCUUCCCCACAAGAGCAUAUGUGUUUCAUACUCCAAGCACCCCUCGAUCUGUCACCCCAAAUACGUUCAGCAGUAUUACCCAAAUCAUGGACUCACUAAAGUGCCUGCCUUCAAUAGGGUCCCUUAUUUCCUCCUGUACAGGAGUAAUAAUUUCAAGGGCAAGAAGAGAAAGUGCAUAUGAUGUCCUUCCUCUGUUGGUGCCUGGCCUGGGGAGAUUCUUAGAAAAUGUGUGCUCAAUGAAGGACAUGAUGACCGGGUGAUGUAGAUGUGGAAGCAUUUCUGUUUUUGCAAGGUCACAUUAACUUCUGUGCAGGGAAAGAGUCAGCUCGAAAGCUUUGAUGGCCUCUGGGAACAGAGAGCUCUACCCAGACCACACAUGGAAAGCUUCCAAAGGUGAAGGCCACGAGGACAGUCGCAGUGUCCUUGGCUGCAUAAAUGUGCACGACAACUGCAUGUGUUGGUACCUGGCAGUUCUUCGGAGACUAACUGUAAGGUCUUCUUUUAUAGCCUGGUUGCCUUUAUGAAGACAAGGGUCUGCCAGUGGCAGUGACAACCCUUGGAAUUUCUGGACAGUGAUUCAGAGAUUAGUCAUAUAUAGCACCCAGUCAUUUGUAGGUACAAAGCUUAGGCUCAGUGUGUACUUGCCAACAAUGUCCCUGUCACCCUGCUUGGCACCCAGCCCAUAUAUAACGAGAGGCUCUCAAAUUCCAACCGACUAUGGAAGCAGAGCCAGUGUUAAGGAAAUCGCCAUUUUACUUGUUAAAAUAAUACCCGGAUUCUGUAGCAGAUUCUUUCUAACAGAUUUUAUUCAGGCAUCCACCCAUUGCCAAGUUGGGGCAUUCUGCUGGCAUCUGUUGUGGAUCUAGGUGUGGG
This 4523-nucleotide long non-coding RNA is filed under the name Heterocephalus glaber (naked mole-rat). RNAcentral describes it as "lncRNA (ENSHGLG00000043986.1)". The record is from RNAcentral. Lineage: Eukaryota; Metazoa; Chordata; Mammalia; Rodentia; Bathyergidae.